Molecule: ribosomal RNA, 387 nt
Filed under: uncultured bacterium
Lineage: Bacteria
Description: bacterial SSU rRNA
Rfam family: Bacterial small subunit ribosomal RNA
Source: RNAcentral
AUUGAACGCUGGCGGAAUGCUUUACACAUGCAAGUCGGGCGGCAGCGCGGGGGCAACCCUGGCGGCGAGCGGCGAACGGGUGAGUAACACAUCGGAACGUACCCUGUCGUGGGGGAUAACGAAUCGAAAGAUUCGCUAAUACCGCAUACGACCUGAGGGUGAAAGCGGGGGAUCGCAAGACCUCGCGCGAGAGGAGCGGCCGAUGGCGGAUUAGCUAGUUGGUGGGGUAAAGGCCCACCAAGGCGACGAUCCGUAGCGGGUCUGAGAGGACGGCCCGCCACACUGGGACUGAGACACGGCCCAGACUCCUACGGGAGGCAGCAGUGGGGAAUUUUGGACAAUGGAGGCAACCCUGAUCCAGCCAUUCCGCGUGAGUGAAGAAGGCCU